CCUGGCAAGCCGUUUUUUUAAGGAAGAUGAGGAUGGUUGCAGACGUUUGCAUUCAUGCAAGAAGGCACUGCAGAGGCUAAGAAGACGCAUGGAAACUCUAAAAGAAACGUAAUUCAACUUGUAAACCAGAUUUCAAAAGGAAAUAAUGAAUCCCGAAGCUCAGAUGUCAGACACCGAGGCUGCCAGUACCUCUGGGUCGAUAGUCCAUGUGUUGGAUGAUGCACCGCCGUUGAUCAGAACAGACAGCGUAUAUCCACACAGGUCGCACCAACCACUCCCCUUUACUGACCAGUAGGAGAGAAGUGCCCCUUUGAAAUCCUCUUGACCCCCUUGGUCCCACUGGAAGACAAGCCUCCUAUCAAGCAGUGGCACAUGCCCGCAUCCCGUGCCAAGGCUGAGCGGGAAUGGGAGAAUAGCCAACGGGAGCGCAGGAAGAGAGUGAAGCCAAUUCACUGGGACGUUAACUUUAAGUCUGGGCCUUUCUUCCCAGUGUGUGUCACUCCAUCACUGCCCUCGAUCUUGGAGAUGGACGAAGAGUCUCUGUCUGAAGAGAUGGAGCAAAGCCAGUUGUAGGGGGUCGCGCACACACACAUUCAUUUUCAUUUAUAUACCUUUAUUUAAAUAGGCAAGUUAGUUAAGUACAAAUUCUUAUUUACAAUGACGACCUACCCCAGCAAAACCCUAACCCGGACGGCACUGGGCCAAUUGUGUGCCACCCUACAGGACCAGUGCCUUAGACCAAUCGGGAGCGUUAUUGAGACCUCAUGGCCUACCAUGGACCAGAGAGGAUCAGCCAGCAUCAUCCCAGCGUCUGCCCUGCCUGCCAUCCUAGUACCUCCACUGCCCUUUCAACCCCAAACCACAAAGGGCAGGUGACAGAAGUGAUCCAGCGCCCAACGAUCCAGGCUGUUCUGCAUGAGCAGCAGCAGCUACUGUCGGAAGUACUGUUGGAACAGACUUUUCCAAUGAGAUCCAACAGGAGCCACAAGCUUUCAAAGUACUUUCAUCCCUGGGUGUGGAGCUUCUCGAACAAUGUUCUCUUCCUGAAGAUGGACUGCUUAAACCCCUUGGGAGUAUCCAGAGUAUCUAGUACGCUGGUGUGAUGAUAGAAUAUGUCCCUCAUUAUCAACUAGAGAUUAAUAUUAAUCCACUUGUUAUUCUAGUUUGGCAAAUGUUAAUUUAUCAUCAGCAUGUUCCAAAGAAUUCUGUUUCUAUAAAGUUUUAUUGCUGUUGAAAAUGAUCUGUGGUGUGUGUUGGUUUCUUGUGAGCUAUGAAGUAUACCCUUUUAGUAGAAUGUUUAUUUCUUCAUUGGACUUGUUGAUUUGUGACCAAGGAGAAGAGGUAAAUGCUGACCGGACAAAUUUAAGUGAAGGUCCGAUUCAAAUUUGUAUUAAUCCGAAGGAGGCACAUCUGACUCAUACCUUCGUGCCAUAAUUCUUCACAUUUUCAAUGUAUAGCAACACUGACAAAUUCUAAGGUGGAACUGUUUGUACUACAGCAUUGGAAAUGAGGAUCUAUCUAAACACAGUGGUUAUGAAUUGUGAGAAUGCUGAACAACAUUUUCUGACCAAUAGGCUUGUUUGUCGUAAUAUUUGGCCAAAUGUUUCUUCG
Molecule: long non-coding RNA, 1611 nt
Organism: Oncorhynchus tshawytscha (Chinook salmon)
Lineage: Eukaryota; Metazoa; Chordata; Actinopteri; Salmoniformes; Salmonidae
Source: Ensembl